Molecule: long non-coding RNA, 246 nt
Filed under: Panax ginseng (ginseng)
Lineage: Eukaryota; Viridiplantae; Streptophyta; Magnoliopsida; Apiales; Araliaceae
Description: long non-coding RNA (PGIN_LNC008009)
Source: RNAcentral
UAGCUUUGAGUUUUUCCAAAUUCUAAACCAAAAAUAUCCAAAAUUCACAAACGGAUGAUUUUUAAUACUUCUCUUCUGACAAAAUACUGAUAAAACACCUCAGCAUUAAUUCUUCCAUUAAUAACCAUAUAAAAUAAAUAAAUCUAUUAUUUAUAUCCACAUCAAAUAAAUAUUUCCUUAUCAUAUAAAUCAAUAAUUAAUUAUUCACAAAUAAUAUUACAGAAUCACAAUUAUGACAACCAGGCC